RNAcentral lists this long non-coding RNA (711 nucleotides) under Homo sapiens (human). Its description in RNAcentral is "non-protein coding MIR99AHG:60". The record is from RNAcentral. Lineage: Eukaryota; Metazoa; Chordata; Mammalia; Primates; Hominidae.
ACUUCUUACCAAGAACUCCUUAACUUGAGGGUGAACAACUUAAAGCUUGAUCCUACAGUUACCUGAAAAGUGAUUUGAGUAUUCAUUGAACUGAAAGAACAAAUCGCCUACUUCAGGCGGUGGCAAGCGUAUGGAAAUUAUAUUAGAACUUCAGCAAAGUGCACAGCUGCAUAAUAGAGAAGCCGGCACUCAGAUUGACAGGCAAAUAAGCCAGCUUGUGGAAGGGGCCUCUGGGUGGCAGCUCUGGGCUUUUGGGUGUUGGACAACCAUAGGCAAAACUGAAAUGGAACAGGGGCAGAAAAUAGCACACUUUUACUCUACGCAACUGUUGCUUUUUCAUGAUCUUCAGGAAUUUUACUGGGAUAAUUAUCCAAAUAAAUUGCAAGCAUUCUAUCCAAAUGGUUCCAGGCAUGAGAAUUUUCCUGGGGGAUGGGGGAGGGAGAACAGGAACCUGGGUGAGUAAAUAAUAUGAUGCUCCAGGUUUGUUUCUCCUCAGCUGACAUUUAUCUCUUUGGCAUGAUGAAGGGUAGAUCAACGUUGACUGUAAAAACAAACACGAUUAGCACUAACGCAGCAUAUGUUAACACUGCUGCAGCCUAAUGAUGAAUGAGCUGUAAGCGAUCCCAACACCUGUUCUUGAUGAUGAUGCGUGAUACCCAACCCCAGUGGAGUAAUGAGAGCGAAGACACAGCGGUGCACAUCUCACCGAUU